Molecule: ribosomal RNA, 171 nt
Filed under: uncultured bacterium
Lineage: Bacteria
Description: partial 16S ribosomal RNA
Rfam family: Bacterial small subunit ribosomal RNA
Source: RNAcentral
CCUACGGGAGGCAGCAGUCGGGAAUAUUGCGCAAUGGAGGAAACUCUGACGCAGUGACGCCGCGUGCAGGAAGAAGGUUUUCGGAUUGUAAACUGCUUUAGACAGGGAAGAACAAAGACAGUACCUGUAGAAUAAGCUCCGGCUAACUACGUGCCAGCAGCCGCGGUAAUA